CCCAACUAUCCCUAUUAAUCAUUACGUCGAUCCUAGAAACCAACAAAAUAGAAUCAAACGUCCUAUUUCAUUAUUCCAUGCUAAUGUAUUCAAGCGCGAGCCUGCUUUAAACACUCUAAUUUUUUCAAAGUAACAGUCCUGAUUCCCCACGACACCAAAUUAAUGACAUCGUGAGUAGGAAUCAAUUUGACCAGUACGUACCGAGGCACGACCGACCAACAGAUCCCGAAAUUCAACUACGAGCUUUUUAACUGCAACAACUUUAAUAUACGCUAUUGGAGCUGGAAUUACCGCGGCUGCUGGCACCAGACUUGCCCUCCAA
RNAcentral lists this unclassified non-coding RNA (322 nucleotides) under uncultured Glomeraceae. Its description in RNAcentral is "sequence contains 18S rRNA gene". The record is from RNAcentral. Lineage: Eukaryota; Fungi; Glomeromycota; Glomeromycetes; Glomerales; Glomeraceae.